CACGUAGGGUGCGAGCGUUGUCCGGAAUUAUUGGGCGUAAAGAGCUCGUAGGCGGUGUGUCGCGUCGGCCGUGAAAACCUGCAGCUUAACUGUGGGCUUGCGGUCGAUACGGGCAGACUGGAGGUAUGCAGGGGAGAACGGAAUUCCUGGUGUAGCGGUGAAAUGCGCAGAUAUCAGGAGGAACACCGGUGGCGAAGGCGGUUCUCUGGGCAUUACCUGACGCUGAGGAGCGAAAGUGUGGGGAGCGAACAGG
RNAcentral lists this ribosomal RNA (253 nucleotides) under uncultured bacterium. RNAcentral describes it as "partial 16S ribosomal RNA". It matches the Rfam family "Bacterial small subunit ribosomal RNA", at positions 524 to 776 of the family's 1533-position model. The record is from RNAcentral.